GAUGAACGCUGGCGGCGUGCCUAAUACAUGCAAGUCGAACGGUACUCUUUCGGGAGUACAGUGGCGAACGGGUGAGUAAUACAUAAGGAACCUGCCCUCGGGACCGGGAUAGCUGAUGGAAACGUCAGGUAAUAGCGGAUGUGAGUCAUUAUGGCAUCAUGAUGACUUGAAAGGAUGCAGCAAUGCAUCGCGCGGGGAUGGCCUUAUGGCGCAUUAGCCAGUUGGCGGGGUAACGGCCCACCAAAGCGAUGAUGCGUAGCCGAUCUGAGAGGACGACCGGCCACAUUGGGACUGAGACACGGCCCAGACUCCUACGGGAGGCAGCAGUAGGGAAUUUUCGGCAAUGGGCGCAAGCCUGACCGAGCAACGCCGCGUGAGUGUUAAGGCCUUCGGGUUGUAAAGCUCUGUUGCCGGGGACGAACGGUACUUAUAGGAAAUGAUAAGUAAGUGACGGUACCCGGCGAGAAAGCCACGGCUAACUACGUG
Molecule: ribosomal RNA, 486 nt
Filed under: uncultured bacterium
Lineage: Bacteria
Also listed under: 1 other name
Description: bacterial SSU rRNA
Rfam family: Bacterial small subunit ribosomal RNA
Source: RNAcentral